Molecule: ribosomal RNA, 976 nt
Filed under: human gut metagenome
Description: bacterial LSU rRNA
Rfam family: Bacterial large subunit ribosomal RNA
Source: RNAcentral
CCUAAGGUAGCGAAAUUCCUUGUCAGGUAAGUUCUGACCCGCACGAAUGGCGUAACGAUUUGGGCGCUGUCUCAACAUGGGACCCGGCGAAAUUGUAGUAUACGUGAAGAUGCGUAUUACCCGCGACUGGACGGAGAGACCCCGUAGAGCUUUACUGUAGUCUGAUAUUGGAUUUCGGUGAUUUAUGUACAGGAUAGGUGGGAGACUUUGAAGCAUAGGCGUCAGCUUAUGUGGAGUCAACCUUGGGAUACCACCCUUAAAUUAUUGAGGUUCUAACUUUGUGCCGUAAUCCGGGCAGAGAACAGUGUCAGAUGGGCAGUUUGACUGGGGCGGUCGCCUCCUAAAAUGUAACGGAGGCGUCCAAAGGUUCCCUCAGGAUGGUUGGAAAUCAUCCAAAGAGUAUAAAGGCAGAAGGGAGCUUAACUGCGAGACAGACAUGUCGAGCAGAUACGAAAGUAGGGCUUAGUGAUCCGGCGGUAGAGUAUGGAAUUGCCGUCGCUUAACGGAUAAAAGUUACCUCGGGGAUAACAGGCUUAUCUCCCCCAAGAGUUCACAUCGACGGGGAGGUUUGGCACCUCGAUGUCGGCUCGUCACAUCCUGGGGCUGUAGUAGGUCCCAAGGGUUCGGCUGUUCGCCGAUUAAAGUGGCACGCGAGCUGGGUUCAGAACGUCGUGAGACAGUUCGGUCCCUAUCCAUCGUGGGCGUAGGAUAUUUGAGAGGAUCUGCUCCUAGUACGAGAGGACCAGAGUGGACGCACCUAUGGUGCACCUGUUGUCGCGCCAGCGGCACAGCAGGGUAGCGAUGUGCGGAUGGGAUAAACGCUGAAAGCAUCUAAGCGUGAAACCCACCUCAAGAUUAGAUAUCCCAUAUCAUAAGAUAGUAAGACCCCUUGAAGACUACAAGGUUGAUAGGUCGGAGGUGUAAGCACGGUAACGUGUUCAGCUGACCGAUACUAAUAGGUCGAGGGCUUAAUCAA